UCCAAGUGGCGGGAGGAUAUCUCUAAACUGGAAUGAGACCCACAGUUGGAGAUUUUGGGCAGGACGGCCUUGACACCAGGACAGGUGCUGGCAACGGACAAACUCCUCGCCGGAAGAAAGGGAAACCGCUGGACUGUGGUUUACCCUCGUUUCCUGGUAUCUUUGCUAAACUCCCUUUCCCUGCGGGCUUUGCUGAGCAAGAGAGCCCUGCUGCAGAGGUGGCAAGAGGGAGGUGACAUCAGAGGCCCAACCAUCACUCCCAAGAAGAGGAGGCUCAGAAUUUCUGUCCUCAGUCCUAAGACCACAGCAUGCAGUUGGAGUAAUCCCUUCUCACUGUAACCUGCCAUGACCCCCACAUUGUUCGGUGUGAUGCUUUGCCUGCUAAGAGCAGACCUAACAGAUGCUGGCAUUACCCAGACACCUAGCUACUGGAUCACACAGACAGGAAGAAAGAUGACCCUGGAAUGCUCCCAGAAUAUGAACCACUAUUGGAUGUUCUGGUAUCGACAAGAUGCAGGACAGGGGUUGAAGCUGAUCCAUUACUCAGGAAGUGUUGGCAGCACUGACAAAGGAGAUGUCCCCGAAGGGUACAGUGUUUCCAGAAACAAGAGUGAGGAUUUCCCCCUGACAUUAGAGUCGACCAGGCCCAGCCAGACCUCCAUGUACUUCUGUGCCAGCAGCGAACACAGCACUGUAUGGCCAGGUGUUGCCUGCACAAGAAGGACAACCACGAGGUUGAGGACCCUCCUUCCUCAGCUCCUGCGCCAACCAAAAGAAAGGUCUGAACUUCCUGAAGCUCUUGCUACCCAGAGGGACCUUGUGCAGCAUGAGUCUUAGUGUGAGCCGAGGGUCCUUAAGUGUGUAAAUCCAAAUGAUAUUGGAUAUUACCUUUUCCAAUUUGGAGUCGUCUAGUAACUGAGUAGAGGAUAUCAGCUUCCAACAUGACAUUUGUAUUUUGUUUUCUUUGCAAAAGAGGAAAACAACAUAGAAAGUAUUAGAGCACUCUGAAUGUCUCAAAUCAUCUGGGAUUCUCCAAGUUCAAAGCUAGUGCAAAAUGUCACUUUGGCCUCGAGUCCAUCAAAUCCACCCUUAUUCCUCUGCAGAAAACAGUAUUAAUGUAAGUUAAAAAUAUACAAGUCAACAGACCUCAAGCUGGAGAAUUACUGAAGAGAGAACAAACUAAGGACCCAUGGAGACAGAACGAUGUGUUUAGUCUUACUCAGGCAUAUCCAGACAGGAAAUUAAUAGUUAAUUUCUUUGUGUUGAAUUAAAAUAUGUGAAGAUGUCAA
Peromyscus californicus insignis is the source of this 1289-nucleotide non-coding RNA. Lineage: Eukaryota; Metazoa; Chordata; Mammalia; Rodentia; Cricetidae. The record is from the annotation of a RefSeq genome assembly.